Molecule: long non-coding RNA, 476 nt
Filed under: Nicotiana benthamiana
Lineage: Eukaryota; Viridiplantae; Streptophyta; Magnoliopsida; Solanales; Solanaceae
Description: long non-coding RNA (NBEN_LNC022034)
Source: RNAcentral
UUGACUUGAUGAAGAUCUCUUUCCUUUUUGCUGGAUAUAUAAUUGACGAAGAUGGCGGGCCUUCCAGUCUUGCCUUCAUACAAGUCUGCUGCUAUGGAGAACCUUCAGUGAUUUGCGUUGAUUCUGUUGAUGCAUCUGGCUGGAUAUGAUUUCCCAAAAAUCACGGGAGAGGUCCUGAUGUGCUGAUGCAAAGUUGAUCUUCUCCUUGUGUGCCAACGACUUCCUUUAAUGAGGAUUUCCUUCCUUAUUUGAUGCUUCAAUCUCGCUUCCAUGAUUGGAUGUAGUGGCAACUUGCCUUUUUGCUUUGCUUCAUUAGUUUCAGUGGUUUUGCUUCCUUCCUUGAGUAUCUGUACAUGUAUAUUAAUUGCAUCAUUAAAAUCUAAUAAUCCCUCCCUUUUUGAUGAUGGAAAAAUUAAUAUACUAGAGUAAACAACAUUUGACUUCCCUGUUUACAUUCAGUUCCAUUGCUCCCCCUC